AUUGGUUGUGUGUGUCUAUUGUCAAAGCAUCAUGCUUAACAUGAUAAGGGCAGUGGAAACUACACAACUAGAAGUGCGUUCGGGGCAGAGGGAAUUGCCUGGUGUAGCGGUGAAAUGCGUCAGAGAUCAGGAAGAACACCGGUGGCGAAAGCGCUCUGCUAGGCCGUAACUGAGACUGAGGGACGAAAGCUAGGGGAGCGAAUGGGAUUAGAUACCCCCAGUAGUCCUAGCCGUAAACGAUGGAUACUAGGCGUUGAGAGUUAUCGACCCUCUCAGUGCCGUAGCUAACGCGUUAAGUAUCCCGCCUGGGGAGUAC
RNAcentral lists this ribosomal RNA (316 nucleotides) under Mastigocladus laminosus CG22. Its description in RNAcentral is "bacterial SSU rRNA". It matches the Rfam family "Bacterial small subunit ribosomal RNA", at positions 574 to 883 of the family's 1533-position model. Lineage: Bacteria; Bacillati; Cyanobacteriota; Cyanophyceae; Nostocales; Hapalosiphonaceae. The record is from RNAcentral.